GGGGAGCACGGCGGUGCUCUGCCUGGAUGCUUGAGCAUUGAGCAACAUUUGCUGGAGACAGGAGGAAAAGAGCUAUGGCCCAGGCCUCUAAAAUGUCUUUUCUCACCUAUUUUGGUUGCAGCUGGUUGAUAUGAUGUGUGCACACACCAAGCUCUGGGCAUCACAUUGGCCUCAUUGCUGCCACUGCAAUCAAUACUGCUCAAUUUGGGCCAAAUUCUUCCUUAAAAGUCAUGGCAGUCGCUAAGAUCCCCAUGCAUUUAUUGCAGCUUAUCGCUGGGCAGCAAAGUAGGCUUGGAGAUAAAACUUCUGGAGUGGUGAGCAUAGUUUUUCUCCCUGGGACCGUGGUUAUGUGUGCUGAUGAAAAGGGGAUGACCAAUAGUUGUUGACUUGGUUUAUUUCUUACCCACCUUCGCUACAGGUUUUGUGCAAAGCCCAUUUGACACCAGUCCCUGUUUUAAUUGACUUUUUUCAGUAUCUCUUUUAUAGUUAUGAUGGAUGCAGCUGACGAGUCAGCAGAUGGUGUUGGGAAGUGACAAAUCACCAGGAAAGGUCACUUCUGCAAAGCACUAAACUUUCCCAUGUCUUUUCCCCUUUUACCUCAAAAAUGUGGCUGGCUGGCAGCUUUCCCAUCCAUCUGUGAUGAAGCUCUCCACUUCAUCGGAGAGAGCAACCUUUAAAAUAAAAAGGGAAAAUGAGAAUUAAUCAUAUCUGAAUUAGCUGGGUGCUGUUGGCCAGGUUUGCCUCUUCAUUAUGCAAGCAUGCUCAAAAGGGAAAGGAAACAGAACUGAAAAUAAGGGGCCUGACUCCCACCCUCCACAUUUUCCCUUUACAUUUGCCUAUAAGGACAGGCCUGGCACACCCCACUGCAGACACAGAACAAGGAUACGUGAAAAUAAAAGUCACAGCUGGAAGUCUGACCCCCAGCAUCGUAACGGGAGAAGUCUGUCCUGCUGCAGUCCCAUUAACAACUUGCAGUCUUCAGGCUCCUGGAAGCUCUCCUGGUUUUAUGAAGCAAAAUUGCAGCAGAGAGUUGAUUCGAGGCCUUCAGCAUUGCUCCGCUGGCCGCUGACCUGCAGAGAGCUCUAAAUCCACAUCGACACCGGCCUCGGGGGAUCAGCCAAAACACCAACCUCAGCUUGUGAGGGAGAAAGCUGGGUCCUCGAGGACAGCUGAGAAGGGACAGAGCCACGUUCAGAUCCUCCAGCAGCACAGAUGUGGCUCGGACUUACCUGCUCCGUGUUCAGCUCCCCAAAGUGGGAGAAGUCCAAGCAAAAGUCCUCUUGGUCCCACUGUUGGCAAUCCUGCAUGUGAAAGGUGUCUGGGUGCCAAGCAUGGAGCCAAAGUCGUACCAUGCAUUAGCUGGAAUGCAAAGAGAAGAAGGUUUGGUCAAAGGAAAACUUAAAGCAAAAAAAAAGAAAUCAAUAAAUGGUGGUGAAGGCGAUUAUACCA
This 1449-nucleotide long non-coding RNA is filed under the name Phasianus colchicus (ring-necked pheasant). RNAcentral describes it as "lncRNA (ENSPCLG00000017894.1)". The record is from RNAcentral. Lineage: Eukaryota; Metazoa; Chordata; Aves; Galliformes; Phasianidae.